Molecule: ribosomal RNA, 1080 nt
Filed under: bacterium endosymbiont of Donacia versicolorea
Lineage: Bacteria
Description: bacterial SSU rRNA
Rfam family: Bacterial small subunit ribosomal RNA
Source: RNAcentral
AAAGCCUGAUGCAGCUAUGCCGCGUGUAUGAAGAAGGCCUUCGGGUUGUAAAGUACUUUCAACAAGAAAGAAAAAAUAAAAUCUAAUAUAUUUUAUUCUUGACGUUACUUGGAAAAGAAGCACCGGCUAACUCCGUGCCAGCAGCCGCGGUAAUACGGAGGGUGCUAGCGUUAAUCGGAAUUACUGGGCGUAAAGAGCACGUAGGCGGUUAAUUAAGUCAGAUGUGAAAUCCCUAAGCUUAACUUAGGAACUGCAUUUGAAACUAAUUAACUUGAGUUUCGUAGAGGGGGGUAGAAUUCCAGGUGUAGCGGUGAAAUGCGUAGAUAUCUGGAGGAAUACCAGUGGCGAAGGCGACCCCCUGGACGAAUACUGACGCUCAGGUGCGAAAGCAUGGGGAGCAAACAGGAUUAGAUACCCUGGUAGUCCAUGCUGUAAACGAUGUCGACUUGAAGGUUGUAAGCUUGACUUGUAACUUUCGUAGCUAACGCGUUAAGUCGACCGCCUGGGGAGUACGACCGCAAGGUUAAAACUCAAAUGAAUUGACGGGGGCCCGCACAAGCGGUGGAGCAUGUGGUUUAAUUCGAUGCAACGCGAAAAACCUUACCUGGUCUUGACAUCCAUGGAAUUUAAUAGAGAUAUUUAAGUGCCUUCGGGAACCAUGAGACAGGUGCUGCAUGGCUGUCGUCAGCUCGUGUUGUGAAAUGUUGGGUUAAGUCCCGCAACGAGCGCAACCCUUGUCCUUUGUUGCCAUCAGUUUAGCUGGGAACUCAAAGGAAACUGCCGGUGAUAAACCGGAGGAAGGUGAGGACGACGUCAAGUCAUCAUGGCCCUUACGACCAGGGCUACACACGUGCUACAAUGGUAUAUACAAAGGGAAGCAUCCUCGUAAGAGUAAGCGGAUCUCACAAAAUAUAUCUUAGUUCGGAUUGGAGUCUGCAACUCGACUCUAUGAAGUCGGAAUCGCUAGUAAUCGUAGAUCAGAACGCUACGGUGAAUACGUUCCCGGGCCUUGUACACACCGCCCGUCACACCAUGGGAGUGGGUUGUAAAAGAAGUAAAUUGCUUAACCAUUUUUGGAGG